Molecule: ribosomal RNA, 455 nt
Filed under: Rastrococcus mangiferae
Lineage: Eukaryota; Metazoa; Arthropoda; Insecta; Hemiptera; Pseudococcidae
Description: partial large subunit ribosomal RNA
Rfam family: Eukaryotic large subunit ribosomal RNA
Source: RNAcentral
AAACACGGACCAAGGAGUCUAACGUGCGCGCGAGUCGCGGGGUGUCGGGUAGCGGCGUGGCGGCUGCCUUCGCGGGCGGUCGCGCGGCGUCGUUGCCCGUUACGAUGCGAAACCCGUACAUGUCGAAGGCGUAAUGAAAGUGAAACUGGGGAAGAUGGCGUUCACCGAGUACACGUACCGCGGUCUUGUACCGCGGCCGGUCGCCCGCAUUCCCGGGGCGUCCCAACGGCACGUCGGCGUUUGCGGAUCGUCGUCUUCGCGGGCGGCGGUCGGGCGUCGACGAACCGGGGCGCACCUAUAGCGUGCACGUUGGUACCCGAAAGAUGGUGAACUAUGCCCGGCCAGGAUGAAGUCAGGGGAAACCCUGAUGGAGGUCCGCAGCGAUUCUGACGUGCAAAUCGAUCGUCUGAGCUGGGUAUAGGGGCGAAAGACUAAUCGAACCAUCUAGUAGCUGG